UGAAUACGAGAUGCUACGGCGUCGAAGCAGUCUAUGUCAUACUUCCAAGAAAAGCUCGCACUGUCAUAAACAAAUAAUGCCUGUACCAUAACCGACACAGGUGGGUAGGUAGAGUAUACUAAGGGGCGCGAGAUAACUCUCUCUAAGGAACUCGGCAAAAUGACUCCGUAACUUCGGGAGAAGGAGUGCCUUAUUUAUAAGGUUGCAAUAACAAGAUCCAAGCAACUGUUUAUCAAAAACACAGGUCUCCGCUAAGUCGUAAGACGAUGUAUGGGGGCUGACGCCUGCCCAGUGCCAGAAGGUUAAAGAAGUUGGUUAGCAUUCGCGAAGCUGAUAACUGAAGCCCUGGUGAACGGCGGCCGUAACGAUAACGGUCCUAAGGUAGCGAAAUUCCUUGUCGGGUAAGUUCCGACCCGCACGAAAGGCGUAAUGAUUUGGAUACUGUCUCGGAGAGGGGCUCGGUGAAAUAGACUUGUCUGUGAAGAUGCGGACUACCUGCACCAGGACAGAAAGACCCUAUGAAGCUUUACUGUAACUUGAGAUUGAAAUUGGACUUUACUUGCGCAGUAUAGGUGGGAGGCGUUGAUAAUAUUCUUGCGGGAUUAUUUGAGCCAUCAGUGAGAUACCACUCUUGUAAUGUUAGAUUUCUAACUUUGUAUCAUUAUCUGGUCAAAGGACAGUUUCAGGCGGGCAGUUUGACUGGGGCGGUCGCCUCCUAAACGGUAACGGAGGCGCACAAAGGUUUCCUCUGAACGGGUAGAAAUCGUAUCUAGAGUGUAAAGGCAUAAGGAAGCUUGACUGUGAGACCUACAAGUCGAGCAGGGACGAAAGUCGGUCUUAGUGAUCUGACGGUGCUGAGUGGAAAGGCCGUCACUCAACGGAUAAAAGUUACUCUAAGGAUAACAGGCUGAUCUCCCCCAAGAGUUCACAUCGGCGGGGAGGUUUGGCACCUCGAUGUCGGCUCAUCGCAUCCUGGGGCGGUAGUACGUCCCAAGGGUUGGGCUGUUCGCCCAAGAAGGCGGUACGCGAGCUGGGUUCAGAACGUCGUGAGACAGUUCGGUCCAUAUCCGGUGUAGGCGUUAGAAUAUUGAGAGGAGCCUUCUUUAGUACGAGAGGACCGAGAAGGACAUACCUCUGGUGUACCAGUUAUCGUGCCAACGGUAAACGCUGGGUAGCUAUGUAUGGAGUGGAUAACCGCUGAAAGCAUCUAAGUGGGAAGCCCACCUCAAGAUAAGUAUUCUC
Molecule: ribosomal RNA, 1242 nt
Filed under: metagenome
Description: bacterial LSU rRNA
Rfam family: Bacterial large subunit ribosomal RNA
Source: RNAcentral